AUCCAGCUGACGAAUCCUAAAUAGAACGAAACGCAUGUCCUGGAU
Molecule: non-coding RNA, 45 nt
Filed under: Schistosoma margrebowiei
Lineage: Eukaryota; Metazoa; Platyhelminthes; Trematoda; Strigeidida; Schistosomatidae
Source: RNAcentral